RNAcentral lists this ribosomal RNA (258 nucleotides) under uncultured bacterium. RNAcentral's name for it is "partial 16S ribosomal RNA". It matches the Rfam family "Bacterial small subunit ribosomal RNA", at positions 75 to 334 of the family's 1533-position model. The record is from RNAcentral.
CUUGCUUUCUUUGCUGGCGACCGGCGCACGGGUGAGUAACACGUAUCCAACCUGCCCUUUACUCGGGGGUAGCCUUUCGAAAGAAAGAUUAAUACCCGAUAGCAUAAUGAUUCCGCAUGGUUUCAUUAUUAAAGGAUUCCGGUAAAGGAUGGGGAUGCGUUCCAUUAGGUCGUUGGUGAGGUAACGGCCCACCAAGCCUUCGAUGGAUAGGGGUUCUGAGAGGAAGGUCCCCCACAUUGGAACUGAGACACGGUCCAA